CAGUAGCCACGGUAAUACGUAGGUCCCGAGCGUUGUCCGGAUUUAUUGGGCGUAAAGCGAGCGCAGGCGGUUAGAUAAGUCUGAAGUUAAAGGCUGUGGCUUAACCAUAGUACGCUUUGGAAACUGUUUAACUUGAGUGCAAGAGGGGAGAGUGGAGUUCCAUGUGUAGCGGUGAAAUGCGUAGAUAUAUGGAGGAACACCGGUGGCGAAAGCGGCUCUCUGGCUUGUAACUGACGCUGAGGCUCGAAAGCGUGGGGAGCAAACAGGAUUAGAUACCCCAGUAGUCCCUGUCUCUUAUACA
Molecule: ribosomal RNA, 301 nt
Filed under: uncultured bacterium
Lineage: Bacteria
Description: partial 16S ribosomal RNA
Rfam family: Bacterial small subunit ribosomal RNA
Source: RNAcentral